UUGCUGUAGCAACAUAUAUACUAAAAUUAGAAAGAUACAGAGAAAAUUAACAUGGCCUCUUCACAAGAGUGACACACAAAUUUGUGAAGGGUUCCAUAUUUUU
This is a small nuclear RNA of Ailuropoda melanoleuca (giant panda), 103 nucleotides long. NCBI's taxonomy places the organism in Eukaryota, Metazoa, Chordata, Mammalia, Carnivora, Ursidae. The record is from Ensembl.